RNAcentral lists this ribosomal RNA (229 nucleotides) under Streptomyces albidoflavus. Its description in RNAcentral is "partial 16S ribosomal RNA". It matches the Rfam family "Bacterial small subunit ribosomal RNA", at positions 594 to 821 of the family's 1533-position model. Lineage: Bacteria; Bacillati; Actinomycetota; Actinomycetes; Kitasatosporales; Streptomycetaceae. The record is from RNAcentral.
GUGAAAGGCCCGGUGGCUUAACCCCGGGUCUGCAGUCGAUACGGGCAGGCUAGAGUUCGGUAGGGGAGAUCGGAAUUCCUGGUGUAGCGGUGAAAUGCGCAGAUAUCAGGAGGAACACCGGUGGCGAAGGGGAUCUCUGGGCCGAUACUGACGCUGAGGAGCGAAAGCGUGGGGAGCGAACAGGAUUAGAUACCCUGGUAGUCCACGCCGUAAACGGUGGGCACUAGGG